Lineus longissimus is the source of this 1532-nucleotide RNA transcript. RefSeq lists it as uncharacterized. NCBI's taxonomy places the organism in Eukaryota, Metazoa, Nemertea, Pilidiophora, Heteronemertea, Lineidae. The record is from RefSeq and is a predicted model, not a curated record. The transcript is spliced from 7 exons.
CAUGCGUUUGAAGAAAGUGUGAUCUGCAAAAAAUGGCGAACAAAAUGCAUUUUACAUCAGCGUUGCUUGUGCUGGCUCUUGUCAGAUAUGCCGACGGGGCCAACUGUGUGAAAAACAAUGCAUGUUCGUGUACCUACGACGACGGGUCAGGGACAGUAGAUUUUCAAAACUUGGCCGGGACCAGUGGACCAAGAUUGCUCGACCAAUAUGAUAAGAAUAGGCAGUAUAAGUACUCGUACAACCCUUGCAACCCAUUUACCGAACAGACUUGCAAUAAUGUUGCGGUCUGCGAGGUCACGGUGGACGCCUCGGGCAGUACCUCCUUCACCACUCCUGCAGGCACGCAGGAUAGCGCAACUUUCACCACCACAGGGGGACAACUUAAGAUUGUUUAUAAGACCAGACCAACAGAGUUUAAUUAUCAAACAACUGUCACAUUGAAAUGUGAUGCAUCACUUACAGGAAGUCCCAAGUUUGACAUAGCGGGCGCGGUGACAUUUAACACUGCUGAAACGACUAUGACGCGCCGCAUGCAUCUUUGUAUUGCAGGAAAUGACUAUGACGCAUGCAUCUUUAUGCGCAAUCGUUGAAGGCAGCCUGAGUUCAGGCUCGAUACUCGUCAUAAUAUUUUCCGUCGGAAUUAUAGUCUAUUUCGUCACAGGGAUUGUUUUCAUUGUAUAUGUCAAGAGAGAAUCGGUUGCGAAAUUGUUCCGAAUGUUAAUUUCUGGACGGCGUUGCCUGGUUACGUAAAGGACGGAGGGUUGUUUGUGUACAAUUCAGUAAGAGGAAAUCGUGGCGAGUAUACGCAGUUCGGAGAAAAAUAAUAUUGAGCCCGGAGAGAGGCUCCUCAAAGCAGUGGAACAUCGUGUAAAGUUGGCCGUACAUGUCAAUAGUUAGCGGUCGGUGGGGCCAGCGAAGGAUAGUUCUGGCACAACCUGGUCCAUUGUACAUGUAUAUAUAAUAGCCGGGCUAAAAGUGGAUUCACAGUUAGCCGGCGCUGGCCCGCCCCUCCAAAUCUUUUGUAAUUUUUCGUUAACCAUCAGUACGUUGAUCUCACUAACCGCAUGUGUAAACUUUUUGGGACACCCUAUACAGACGGUAUAGUCAAGGAUAUCUAAAAAUAUUGAGUGAAAAAAGGAAUGGAAAUAAUUCCUUUUCACGAGCACUGAACACGGUUAUCGAUAUGGUAGAAACGAGUGCCAGAGUUCUCGUAACAUUACCAGCAAUGCUUUUAAAUUUCAAAUGUUUCCAAGGCAGACGUGGUCACUACAAUUUGAUAACAGAAUAACAGACUGACGUAACGUCUCGUGGAUGCCAUCACAAAGAACAUUUGCACCAGUUUACGAAUACAUGCUCGCAUAUUUUAUCUGGAGCGCGCCAAUUACAGCAAGGAUUCAUCCACCCCUCGGUUUCAUCUUCAUACAGCUUUACAAUGUAGUUCUAUAAAUGUUCUUUGUCAUUCGGCACCAUUAAAAACAAACCGACGGUCGCACUGCACGUUUAGCGUUGAAUGUCACAUAUAUUUUAAGAAU